Molecule: long non-coding RNA, 302 nt
Filed under: Solanum tuberosum (potato)
Lineage: Eukaryota; Viridiplantae; Streptophyta; Magnoliopsida; Solanales; Solanaceae
Description: long non-coding RNA (STUB_LNC002965)
Source: RNAcentral
GAGUUUUAACAGGAAAAUCUUAAAGCACUUAGCUAGGAGGAUUCAAGACACAUGGUUGUAAGGUGUCCAAGGAUUUUGAUUUUCACCGAAACCUAGUGAUAUGCGUGGAGUAUUUGUUUAUUUCAUUCAAUGAACCACUUAGUUCAAGAUCCGUUCACUAACCAGUCAAUGAUUUUUAAAAGUCUUCACUAGCUAAUAGUUUAAGUCCAAAAGACACCAUUAUUGAAGCAUGUUGCUAGAUUAACGUCUCAAAAUAUUUUUUAGAUUUUUCAAAGAUAAAAUUUCUUGAAACAAGUGGGGGU